This 39317-nucleotide long non-coding RNA is filed under the name Vitis vinifera (wine grape). RNAcentral describes it as "long non-coding RNA (VVIN_LNC002724)". Lineage: Eukaryota; Viridiplantae; Streptophyta; Magnoliopsida; Vitales; Vitaceae. The record is from RNAcentral.
UCUCUUUGAGGUGGUCUUCUUCUUCAUGAUUUCUUUUUGACUUGGUUUGUCUUUGUGAUUGCCACUUUGGAAAUCAUCUUGCCUAAUCACACUUGAAAUAUAAUCAUUAGUUCUAAACCUUGUUUUGUUAUCAUCAAAACCGAGAUUAACCAAACCGUGGUUUCACAAUCUCUUAUGAUGACAAAACCAAGGUUGCUAAAGAGCUCCCCUUCAAUAUAUGCUCCUUUGAAUUUAGAAAAUAUUCAAGUUUAGAAACUUCAAGGAGUAUAUUAAAGAUGCUCAAAAUGAUAUAAUUAAACAUAAAUAGCAUAAAGAGCAAUUUAGCAAUUGCAAAAUAUUAUUAUUUAAACAUGAUGCAUGUAAUUAUAACCAAUAAAGCACAUAACAUCAAUAUGAAUAGGAUUGCUGAAACAAAAUUGACAUUUCUUCCCAAGUUAGCAACCUACCAUUACUUCUCCCCCUUUUUGUCAUCAACAAAAAGUUUCAAUAAAGUAUAUAAGGGAAAUCACAUGUUAUCAAAAGUUUAAAAAAUAAACAAUAAGCAUGAUAUGAUUUCUCAUGAAAAUGAAUCUCCCCCUUUUUCAUUUGAGAAUAGUUUCCAAAUAAAAGAUUGCUCAUCCUUAGAGCAUUUCCAAUUUAAAGCAUGAUUUGGAAAUAUAUGUGAGAGAACAUAUGCAUUUAAAAAGAUAUAUAAUAUGCAUUGAAUAACACUAUUAGAGUUUACAAGCAUAUGAACAUUCAAUUUUACCUAGGUAUAUUAAAAAAAUUUCUUUUUAAUCCAAACCUUGGUUUAAAGAUAUACCAAUUUUAUCAAAGUGAUGCCAAAUGUUAUAUUAUUGACAAAAAAUAUGCCAAGUGUUAGAAAAAUAAUAAAAUGAUAUUGCAAAUUAAGCUUUAAAAGGGAUACCAUUACCAAUAUUAUCAACGCAUUCUUUCUAAGGUAAGCAUAUCCUCAUUUUUGCAUGGAUCCCUACAAAAACAAAUUAAGUAACCUUUGGUACCCAUAUCUUUUUGGGUCCUAGAGGGUUAGUCUUUCUUCCAUUUGGAAUCCAAAAUAAUUUAGAGUUUUGAAGAACAUGAGGGGAUUUACCAAUGUGACCUCCUCUUUCACAAAGAUUGCAAAUAGUUGAAUGUGAAAAACUAGAGGUUUCCUUUACAAAAUAAUUCUUAAAAAAAAAAUUGAUUUUUGAAAGGCUUGUAGCCUAGCCUUUUUUUUUUUUUAAUAUCAAAAAUGCACUUUUGAUUUGCCAAAAUCAUAUCAAAAGUCUUUUGGCCAUUUCAGAAUUUUUAACUCCUCAUUUUCCUUUUCAAAAGGGAUUUUUGCCUUCUCAAUAUUUUCAAAAUUUUCAUUAUGCUCACUGAGCUCAUUUUGAAGACAAUAAAUCUUUUUCUUGAGAGAUAUAUUUUUGAAUCCAAGUUUUUCAAGAUCAAAAUAUAAUUCUUGAAGUACAUCUUGAAACUCGUUAUGGUUAGAGUUGGAGUUUACCUCAUCUUAAUGUUCUUCCAAAGCCAUAAAGCACAUAUUGGCAUCCUCAUUUGUGCAUUCUUCUUCCAUGGAGUCUUCAUCACUUUCACUUUCACUCUCCUCCUCUUCAUCAUCAUUUAUUGAAGCCAUAAAAGCUAUACUUUUCUUAUUUUCUUUAACUCUUUGAAAAUUGUUCAAAUUUAUCUCAUAAGUCAUGAGUGACCAAUGAGUUCUUCAAGUGAGAGUUUGGUGAGAUCCUUUGCUUCUGGAAUAGCCGUCACUUUUGUUUCUCAUUUCUUUGGUAGAGACCUUAAAAUCUUCAUGACUUUCUCUACUUUUAUGUAGGUCUUUCCCAAGGCUUCAAGUUCAUUCACAAUCACCAUGAACCUAGAAAUCACCUCAUGAGUGAUUUCUAAUAGUCUCCAAAUUUCUUUAGCCGACUUACAUUGCCAAAUAUGAUUAAAUUUAUUUCUAUAAAUAGCACAAUGUAAGAUAAAAACGGCUUUGGCAUUUAAUUGAACUUUCUUUCUAUGAAGUUCAUCUCAUUCAUGCUUAGGUUUUGGAACCAUCACUCCAUUUUCUAAUUUUGAAGGAAUGUGGGGACCAUCUUUAAUGACAUCCCAUAAAUCAAGAUUAGUAGAUUGGAAAAACCAAGUCAUUUUAAUUUUCCAACAAGGAUAAUUGGUUCCCAUGAAAAGUGAAGGUCAGGUGGUUGAAAAACUUUCAAUGUAAGAUGAGCUUGAUGGAUUAGCCAUUACUACUUAGAUGAUUAAGUCUUAAACAAGAAGCCUAGUUCUGAUACCAAUCGUUAGGACCUCAGACACUACCAACUCUCUUAAAAGCAAUUGCUUGUAGGAAAGGCGCAUACCCUAACCUUAUAGUGGAUUCACCCAAGCACUCAUGGCGAACAUAAGGGGAGUUGAUGGAUGCGGCCAACCUUCCAAUUGCUUUUAGGAGAGUUGGUAGCGCCUAAGAUCCUACAAGUGGCAUCAGAGCCGAGGUCACGGGUUCGAACCCUAGGGGUGUCGCUGGGAGGGAGAUUGUUGGCAGAUCGGAGGGUUGACCGCAUCCAUCAACUCCCCUUGUGUUCGUCAUAGGCGCUUGGGUGAAUGCACUAUAAGGUUAGGGUAUGCACCUUUCCUACAAGCAAUUGCUUUUAGGAGAGUUGGUAGCACCUGAGGUCCUACAGGAUGGAUGUGAUAUAAUUCUCAAACAUGGUUAACUCAACAACCUCAUUGUAAGUUGUCUCGGGUUUUCAUCUCUAUGAUGGGUGUGUGGUAAAGUCUCAAGAUGGGUGUGUUCCAAGCCUUUUUAAGUAAGCUUUGAAAAGUCAUCAUAUCCUCCUUAGAACAAUAAGUGUUGAGAUAUUAGUAUUAUAAAGCCUUGGGAUGGUCGCUUGGCCUAGAAUGGUUAAACUAUGAGAUGGGUGCACUAUAAAACCUUAGAAUAGGUUUAUUGUAAGCCUUUGGGGGUGUUAUUGCUUAUAGAUAAUUGGCUUGGGAAAGUGUGUUGUGAACCUUGAUAUAGUAAUAUAAGGGUUCGUUUGGUAAUGAUUUUAGGAAGUGUUUUUAAUGUAAAAAGUAUUUUUUUUUAAAAAUAAUUAAGUGCUUGUCAAAAUAAUUAAGUAUUUUUUUGAAGUACCAUGCCUUUAAAAUCUUUAAUUAUUGAAUUUUUGAAAAUCAAUGCCAAUAAUUGUAUUUUAACUACCUAGCUACAAUCUAAAAAUUAAAUUGAGGUAUUAACUCCACUAAAUAAUAGAAUGACCAUAGCUCGAAUAAACAUUAGUCAAACGUGAUAAAACUAUAGACUAAGUGGACAUUGCUAGUUUUGGACAAUGUAAAACCAGUGUGCACCCAAGACUCGAAGAUAUAGUAUCUAAUCAGAUGAGAAGUUUGGGUAUUCUCUUGAAAAGUUUAGGUAUUUUGUAUAUUGUAUUGCAUUAUGCUUGGUUUAGGAAUGUAUUAAGAAAAAUUAUUUUUUCAUAUUAGGUUGAUUUCAUUUAUCUCUCUUAAAGUUUUGACUAAAUAUAUAUAACUUUUAUUGGUUUGAAAUUUCAUCAAAUAUCUUUCAUAUAUUUUAUAUUUACUAUUUUCAUUCACCUCUCUCAUUUCAUCCAAAAUAAGAAAGGUGUUUGGUAAAAUUUCAAACCAAUAAAGGUCAAGUGUAUUUGAUCAAAUCUAAAGGAGAAAUGAGUGAAAUUAAUCUUUCAUGUUUGGUUUUAUCAUAAAAAAUAAAAAAAUAUAUAAUUAAAAUUAAUUAAACAUAAAAGGUAUGUUUAAUGUGGAAUAAAGAGGUAAAAGAGGUAAAGAGAAUAAACGAGAAGUAUAUUAUGUAUGAAUUGGGAUCUAAAAAAAUAGUACUUUGUAUCUAUCUUGCAAAUGUAGUUUGUAAGUAUCCUAUAUGCAAUAUAAUUUGUUGAGUCAAAUACAAAAACAUGAACCCUAAACAUAGGAGUAUUUGAAAUAUUAAUGAUGGCCAAGGAUUGGUUUUACUUCAUCAUCUAAUAUUUGGAAUUGCUCACUUAACCCAAGAUGUGCAUUAAGAAGGCAGACAUGAGUGAGCAGCUCUCCACCUCGCCUAAGCUGAUGGCUGUGUUGAACCUAUUCACAAUGAGUAGCCGCAUAGAAUAGCAUCUCCAUCCACACAUGACUUAUCAUCUCCCAUUUCUCCUCUGUCCCUGCCAUUUCCGGUGAUUCUAAUAUUUUGGCAAGUCUAUAUGCCUCGAAUAAUACGGACUUGCUUUUAUCUCCUUUCACAUCUCUAGGUAGCAGUUGCGUAUCACUUUAAGCAACGAUGUGCAAGCUUCAUCUCUAUUAGAUAUGGCCUCCCAUUUUUUGCUGAAAAAAUCUUUUGGCCUCUGAACGAGUGUCUCGGAAUCUCCCCUAUUCCUUUUGGAAGCAUAAAUGGUCAUAUGACUAGGAGAUGGAGCAUGUAAUUAGAUAAUAACUUGCUUAUAUUGUACCUUGAUUUAGGAUCAGGGUCUUUAUGAUCAAAAGAACUGCCAUACAUAUCUGUAGCAAUAUGCCAGAGAAGGAGGCUGUGAACAAAUUCCACAUCAACUAUACUCCAACCAAGUUCAUUAAUAAACCCCUUUUUUGUAAUCACAUAAUUACCUCUGUGUUUGAGUAGCUGCUUGAGAUUUCCACCUUCGUUUAUCAUCUCUAGAACCCACCAGAAGAUGGAUUAAUUUAUAUCAUCCACUUUCUCCCAAGUCAUGUACCAGUACUUGUCCAAGAAUUUGUUCAAGUCGAUGAACUUGGGAACCCGAUCAAACUUGGUUUUGUCUCUGAGGCAAGAAUCAAUUAAGUUGUUCUGUGCGAUGCGUCUAGACCACCUCCUGUCACUGGAUACAACUGAUCGAAAAGAGGAGAUGGCUCGACCAAUGGAAUCAGCCAGGGGGUUCCUCUUACUGCUCAACCAGAAAAUGGUCCAGUGGGACAAAAUCAGCAUAAUGAGAGCAUAUAUAAAUCUCAAGAACAAUAGCUCCAAACAGUAACGUGUAAGUUACGCCGAUGUCAAUGUUUGAGAACUCGUGCUUAUCAAUGAAGAAGCAGAAGGCCACUAAAGUAAAAAUUGUGGAGAAGAAGCUUGUGGAGCGGAGCAGAAGGCCUAGUUCAGAAUAAGCCACUGCUGCCUUGGUGUGGAGCACAUCAUACAUGCAUAAAACCGAGCUCCAUCUCUACCACUUCGAAGGCAUCUUCAGAUGGCAAGCACCUGAUGAUGCUGUCACUGAUUUUUUGUUCAUCCAAGCUGAGGAUGAGGUCUGCAUAUAGAUGCCUGAAGUGCCCCUCGAAUAAGAAGUAAGCUUUAUGAAUAUAUUUUGCAUCAGGAAUAUAUAGUAAUGUCAUCACCGACAGUAGGUGGUGGAAGGGGACAUUUAAUCGCCACCUGAAAUCCUACAUCCUCUCGUUUUCUUGAACUAUAAUCCUCCAUGAAUUUAUCAUAAUCAGGUCCAGGAUCAGGGGGUCGGAGCAAGGAGUCUCUGAAUUGCUUGCUGCUUGCAGACCUGUGAACCCAGGUCCUCUCUCCAUACUUGAUCAUUCCAGCAAUAAACAUUAGAAUGAACAGAAAAGUGAGUCCAGUUCCUAUCCAGUACCUUAGAAACACAACCAGCCGCUCCAACUUGGAUGACUAGUCCAAGCAAGUGCCUCCGCCCCAACUCGCUGUCCUGUAAGGAGUAGGCAGUGAUGCUAUCCAGCCCACCAAGGUGGAGGAGAAGGAAGGGUGCCCAAAAUGCCAUGAGCGAAUAGUUUGGAUCCGGGGAGCUUCUGGAGAGAGUACCAAGCGAAACAGUUUGCCAUCAAGUCUGCUAACAAGUAUGGCAGCCAAAUUAGAAUCCUAAUCCAGCUUCCAGCUAUACGUUUUCGUUGGUUGCCAGAGAUGACAAGCAUAAUUUGUAGCAACAGACUGAAUAAAACCAUCACACGGAUAUCCCAUUCGUCCCAAAGUUUUUGCACCUUUGAGAAAAUCUCCAUUGCCUGCCUCUUCUCACUACGUAAUUAUGAGAUUAAUUCACUUGCAGUUUUUUCAGAUUCUCCAGUGCCAUAUUUAUUCCCUAAUCAUUAUUUAACUAUGACAAACUUACAAUAGUAGGCAUAGACCUCCAAUGGCCUUGAGGGGACUCUAACGGGUGACCAUUAGAGAGCAAACCCAAGGCCGGACCAACUGAGCUACCCUCAGGGUUAAAAAAAAAAAAAUGCCUUUGUAAAUUAUUUGUAAAAGGAAAACCAUUGGGCAUUAUGGGGUUCUUUAAUCAUUUGUUGAGAAACAUAUUGAAGAAUAAGAAUUGUCCUAAAAGAAAGAAAGGUGGCUUAGACAAAUAGAAACCGACAAAAGUGGAGUUGUUAACAAAUCUUUCCAUAUUUCCAUAAUUUAUUUAAACCUAUUAUUUUAUGAUGAUCAUGUGAGUAAAACAUUUAUAGAUUUAUAUAGUUUAAGGUCUUUUUGGUAACUUUCUUUAUUUUUUAUUUGAAACAACUGUAUAAAAAAAAGCAAUUUUUUAGAAUAUUUCUUUGAUAUUUUCUAAAAUAAAAAUCUAUUUGAGAACUUUAAAUAUUUUUAAUUUAUUUUGUAUAUUUUUAAAUAUUUUUUAAAAUUAAGUUUUAUGAGCUUUAUUUUCAAUUAUUAUCCAUUUUUUAGAAUUAUUUUUUUUAAAUAUCAUUUUAAAAACAAAUAAAAAUUAUUAAAAUAUGUCAUGAGAAAACAUCUCAUUUUUUCAAGGAAAAAAAAUUCAAAAAUUAACAAAAUCAAAUUCGGAUUAUGUUAAGAAUAAUGUGACUAAGGUCGGAAGACUUUAUAGUGGAUUUGUAUUGCCUAGGUUAAAUCAUUUUGAGAAAAUUAGGCCAAAGAGACUUCACAUGCAUUAUUUAGAAAGAGGUGUUAAUUAACUUUUAUUCAUAAAAAAAUAAAAAAUAAAAAUAUGAUUCUUUCUAAAUUAAUUGUGAAAGGAAGACCAUUGAAAGUUGAAACACCACUGUGGGCCUUGAUCCCACUGUUGAUGCCUCGCGCUCCUGGUGUUCCACGUAGUUGCCAAAUGAAUGGACAUGCGAUCUCAACCCACAAAGGUUCUUGAUUCAAUCGUUGUACCUGCAAAAGACAUCCGGACAGGGUGUCCGGACGCACCCUCCGAUGGUUUUGUUAGCCAUGGUUAGAGAGGGAGAUAUAAAUCAGUUGACCUUUUACUAGGUAUCAGGAGAUCACCUUCUUCUUCGUGCGAAGGUUCAUAUAUAGUGUCAGGAGUACUGUUCCUCUCAUUAAUGGCGAGGAGAUAUUUUAUGUUUGUCAUGAUGACAUUCGGAGGCAGCAUGGUCAUCACCACCCUACUGGCGACUGUCAGAAACCGUGGUAGGUGAUGCUGCUGUCAGAGAUCGUGGGAAGUGUUCAUGUAGAAUGAUCGUGGAAAGUGACUUGUUGUCACCUCAACUCGUCCUUUCACUCUACAGGCAAUGGGACGUGGGCCAUGGCUGGUUUGUUGCGAUAGCGUGUAAGACUCGCUUUACUUUAGUCAAUGAUCCAGACAAUCAUAUCCGGAUAGCCCAUGUUGGUUAUCCGGAUGUAUUGUGGAGCGGACGUAUUUAUGGAAGUCGUCCGGAUGCCUAUGCUUCGUAAGCGUCGUUUGCUCUUCCUUGAGGCAGUCCGGAUAUACAAGGUGCGCCAUGUGUGCUUUAUAAGAAGGUCCGGAUGAGGGUGACCCGGAUGACAAUGCGUGCCAUGUGUCACUGUAAGAUACGUGCCACGUGUCUUGGCCAAAUGCGUGGCACGUGUUCUCAGAGGGCGGGGUCCCUACAAUGCCCUCCUUUUUUAACUUGCCUAUUUUGCCUUAGAAAAAAUGGGCGGGUUAAAAAAUAAUUGGUUUUUGAAACAGAAGUCGACCUUUCGUCUGGUUGGGCCACAUGGCGAGUGGGGGUGCGGGAGCCAAGAAAGGCAUUUAUAAUGAGCCGCCGACUCUGGGUAUUCCCAGGCAGCAUGUCGUUUCAAUGAUGGCGCUGUUUGGGUGUUUGGUUUUCCGAGGGCUUGUCUCCCUAUAAAUAGCAUACUGUGCCCAUUGUUGCUUUUUUUUCCUACUGCUUUUUCUGAGAUUGCUUUCUUCUUCAACUUUGUACGUACCUUCGCUUUCUUCCGAGUAAAACUCAAAAUUUUCCUAACGGUGAUUUGCGCUUUGACGGUGUUUGCCUUGCGGUUUUGCAACCCUUGCUCUUCUCUUACAUUUGGUACGUAUUCUUUGUGCCUUGUUCUUUUCUUUUCUGCGCUUUGGUGUUUGUUGGUUUGUUGCUGGUUUGUUUGGGCGAGUGUUGUUUGUGACUGGGUAUUUUAAGGGUUUCCGUUGCCCCCCUGUGUUUUUGUGGGUUGGGGGUUUCUUGUUGGAGUAGAGUCAAGGAUUUUUGGAAUGGGUAUAUUGGUGGUGCGAGAUUUUCUGAGUGUUGUUAUUGUUUAGGGUUUGCGGGGUUGGUUGGCUGUGUUUGACUGUUGCAUUUCUUGUAUGUAGGUUUUGGUUCAAUCUCGGCCUAAAAAUGUCUUCAAAGAAGAAAGCUGCUUCAUCUGCCCGAGUCGGCGACGCUCAUGAGAAGUCUACAGACAAACUGAGCGUAAAGGAGUUCCGAGAUCGAUUCUACAUUCCAAAUGGCGUAAUUGUGGAAUUUUUGAAUGGGGAGGAUGUCGUAUCUACUGAAAAAGCUGAACAAGAUACCGUCAUCUUCUCCAAGGAACAAUUCAAUGCGGGGCUCCGAUUCCCUCUACCGGCGUUGUUCAAGGAAUUUCUUCAUUUCACCAAGAUUCCACCCGUCUUCAUUCACCCCAAUAUCAUCCGGGUGCUGAUGGGAUGCAGCAUCAUAAACAUGCUGUACAACCUCGAUCUCACGCUGCUGGAGGUGUUUUUUGUCUAUUCGCUGAAGAAGGCAAAAACUGACAUCUUCAGCCUGUCCGCGCACCUACCCUCCCUUCAAUUGGUGACGAAACUGUCAGACUCGACGAAGGGAGGGGCGAGGGGACACGUGAUGGUCCGGGGUGCAUGGGCGGGGUCGAAGCAUCCGGCGAGGCCCUUCUCUCCAAACUACUCCUUAGUGAUUCCGGGUAAGUUUGCUUUGCGACUUUUGUCCGACUUUUACUUUGUUGUCUUUUUGUUAAUUUUUCCGGGCAGUAUUCUCAUCCUUUGUUUGCUGUCAAUGCAGGUUCGGAAAGGAGGGGCCACCUCGUGGAUUGGGUGGAAAAGACGUCUUUUGCCUGUCUCAGCAAGUUAUUUGAGAUAGACGCCAAGGAGAGGCAGUGCAAGACGCUGCUGACUGCGUGGAACCUGAUGGCGGUCGUCCGGGAGCCCCAAGAGUAUGUCAUCAACAUUCUCCCCAGGAAGAUGCCAAAGGAGGUAGUGCCUGGGGAGCAUUACACUGUGAAGGAUCUCCCGAUCUACCAGGAGUUCAAAGAGGUUGACGCUGAAAAACGCCGAGCACUCUUGGAUGAUCGGGAGAAGAGAAAGAACGAAGGAACCCUUCGGAAGGCUCCCAGACAGAAACGCGGCGCGACCUCUCCUCCAAAUAAAACUCCAGCAAAAAGAAGGAAGUUAGUGAAGAAGAAUGGGAAGGGGGUGAAGGAGUCCACUCCUCUCAAGGAUUUUAUCCCUCCGCCAAUUACUCAUGAGGCGGAGGUAAUAAUAGAGGAACCAGUGAACCCUGCUCCUCAUUCUAUCUCAAGCGGAUCCGGACACGUCGCGAGGCUGAACCACUCAAGUACCUUCUUAGCAGCGGUUGCCCGUCUGGCAAAUUUGGUUGAGGAAGCUGCGUUCAUCAACCAUCCGGACUCCCCUACUCCGGAUGUCGAUGCAGUUGAAGCCGUUUGCGCGGCCCCGAUGGAGGAAGCAGGGGCAGAAAGCCAGAGUCAGCCCUCUGAUGAUUCGGACCGUCUGGCUCUUGUUCUGGUGAAGGAGCCACCUUCAAAGAGGCCUCACUCGGCGCGCAAUCUGAGGUCCGGACUCCUCGGGCGGCUUCAAGAUCGUCAGCAAGAGAUCGAAGUUAGUUGCUCAUCCGCCCACGACGCUCAUCCGGAGGGGGGCGAAGUGGAGAUGACAACUGAGCCUCCAUCCGUCCCUGUGAUGGUCCCGGCUGAGGUUGCACCCGGGGAGACCCAUCCGGUCGUAAAUGUUGAGGCCCCGAAUCCGGAACAAGAGUCUCGUUCUGUUGCCUCAUCAGGCGGGGAUCCUGUUAAUGAUGCGUCUUGCACCUCCGCUAGCCCUUUUAGCUACGCGGAGUUGGAAGAUAAGCUGAAACAGAUUCCACCCGACUUGACCAGUGUUAUGCCUUCAGCCAAGAUGUUCGAGAUGGUGGAAUCGGUAUACUGUCUUUGUGCUUUUUUAUUUUUUGUCCUUCUGAUAUGUGUUUGUGGUGUGAUUUCUAACUUUGCUUUUCUCGUUUGACUGUUUACCUGCAGCUGGUGAGUGGUCUCCGUGGCAUGGUCAAUCAAUACGAUCUUUUCACUGACCUGCUGCGGACCACUGAUUACAUGAAGGCCUUCGCCGCUCGGCACAAAGAUACUGAAGACCAGUUGCGCCUGAGACUGGGGAAGGCUGAAGCUAGCGUAUCCACUGCCCGAGGGGAGAAUGAGGCCCUCCGGGCAGAUUUGGCUGAUGCAAAGAGCCGGGAGGAAUCAAUGGAGGCCCGCCUGCAGGAGGCAGAGGAUGAGAUGGCCCGGCUGCGGGGGGAGGUGAGGCAACUCCAGACCGAGGCUUCAAUUGAAAAGAAGCAGAAACAAGAUUUGCAAUUGCGCUUAUCAGCGCAAAAAGAAGAGCUAGAACGGGAGUUUGCUGCAGAGAGGGAGGAACUUGAAGCGGACUACCAAAAACAAGUGGAUGACACCUUCAUCUUUGGCUAUCGCUGUUGUAUGAAGAAGAAUGGCAUAAAGCGGGAUGUCCCUUCAAUUCCUCCGGGUGAAGAGAAGAAACUUUAAGGUUCUCCCUGAUAGCUUUUGUCUUUUUGCAACUGUUUGCUGUAAUCUUCUUUUUGUAUUUUCGUGGUCCGGAGACCUCUUUGCACAUUCAUUGAUACAUAUCAAUAAAAUAUGUCUUUUUCUUCUAUUUGUACUUGUCUCUCUUUUUCAUUGAUAAUACUGUUUUAAAUUGGACACAUUCCAUGGUCUAAGUAAUGGAGUCCCGUCUAACUUUUGUAAAUGAUAGGCUCCACUCUCACUUGCCUUAGACACUAUAUAGGGUCCUUCCCAGUUAGCUUGGAAUUUCCCUGCACCCACUUCAACAGUGUUUUCAAAAACUUUUCUAAGGACUAGCGUACCAUUUUUGAAGUUUCUGGGCCUUACUUUGCGAUUGUAGUGGGCGGAUGCUCUUUGUUGAUAGUCUGCCAUCUGGAUGGCUGCACUUUCUCUUACUUUAUCCGUCCAAUCCAAAUUUCUUCCUAAUUCCGUGUUUGCAUCAUUUUGCUUUGCUGCAUCAGUCCGGACAGUAAGAAGACCUAUUUCAGUAGGAAUGACUGCGUCCAUUCCAUAUGCGAGGGCGAAAGGAGUGUUUCCUGUUGGUCGUCCGGGUGUGGUUCGAUAGGCCCAUAGGACGCCGGGUAGCUCCUCCACCCACUUCCCUUUGGAUUGUUCAAGCAUUUUCUUUAAGGCAGUGAUUAGGGUCUUGUUUGUGGCUUCUGCUUGCCCAUUACUUUGAGGAUAUCGUGGUGUGGAAUAUGAAUUCCGGAUGUUCAGCUUCGAACAGAAAUUCCUGAAAGCAAUGUUGGUGACAUCUUUGUCUUUGAUGCUAGCAUAUGCUUCAACUUCCACCCAUUUACUAAAGUAAUCAGUGGCAACAAGGAGGAAUUUCUUCUGGGCAGGCGCUGCUGGGAGGGGUCCCACUAUAUCCAUGCCCCAUUGUGCAAAAGGCCAUGGGCCUGAGACUGACUUCAACGUUGCUGACGGCAUAUGUGGAAUGGGAGCAUACCUUUGACAUUUAUCACAUCUUUUGACAUAUGCUGCCGCGUCUUUCUUCAUUGUUGGCCAAUAGUAUCCUUGCGAAUGAGCCCUAUGUGCCAGAGAUCGUCCUCCCGAAUGAUUUCCGCAUAUUCCCUCAUGCAACUCAGUUAACACAUACUGGGCCUCUGAAUGCCCUAGGCACUGGAGGUAAGGUCCUGUGAAGGAUCGCUUGUACAGGUGCCCCCCAAUCAGGGUGAAACGGGCAGCUUGCACCCGGAUUUUGUGUGCCUGCUUGGGAUCUCCGGGUAGAGUGUCUGUCCGGAGAUAUUCUGCAAUAUUGUCCGUCCAUUCUUGGUCGUUUGCUUGGGUUGCCUCAAUGGUGUUGCAAGUGGAGGUUUCUAUGACAGAAGGGCUGGUUUGCACAUGUAUAGGCAAUAGAAUGGCUUCUUUGAUGGGGAGGGAGACAGCUAUGCCGGCCAAGGCGUCAGCGCGCCUAUUGUCAGCUCGCUUGAUUUUUUCGAUUGUCCAUUCGAUGAAUUGCUGUAGGGUGUCUCUUACUUUAGCUAAGUAUCGCGCCAUGCGUGCGUCCUUAGCCUCAUAUUCUUCCUGGACAUGCUUUACCACGAGUUGUGAGUCGCUGUAGAUCUGGAGUUUGGAGACGGAUAGAGCAAGGGCGAGGUCCAAUUCGGACAAGAUGGCCUCAUAUUCUGCUUCAUUGUUAGAGGCAGAGAAUUCCAGCCGGAUGGCUUGCUCCAAAUGUUCCCCAGUUGGGGACUGUAGUAGAAGCCCAACUCCAAAGCCUGAUGAGCGUGAGGCUCCAUCAACUCGCAGAGUCCACCAUUCUUGUUUACUUGAUUCGUGGUGUUGGCUGGGUCUUCGGGAAUAUUCUAGCACGAAGUCAGCCAUUACUUGGCCUUUCAUGGACAAUCUGGGUUGAAAUUCGAUUCCAAAUUCGCUUAAUUCGAUGGCCCAUUGUAGCAUUCUUCCGGUUAAAUCUGGUUUGUGCAGAAUGUUGCGAAGGGGCUGGUCAGUUAGUACGAUCACUGGAUGAGCUUGGAAAUAAGGGCGGAGCUUCUAGGCAGCGCUUCGAAGGGCUAAGGCUGUUAGCUCCAUUUUUGAAUAUCUGGUUUCUACGUCUGCCAAUGCCCUGCUGACGUAGUAGAUAGGUUUUUACUCCUUGGGCGAGGGGCAGCGGAAUAGAACGGCGCUGAUUGCCCAUUCUGAUACCGCCAGAUACAUAUACAAUUUCUCCUUUGGAAUGAGACUGUUCAAGAUGGGCGGUUGCGUAAGACAAUGCUUAAUCUUUUCGAAAGCGUUCUGGCAACUGUCCGUCCAUCCGUGUGCUCCAGCUUUUCAUAUUGCCAAGAAGAAGGGUCGCAAUUCAUCAAUGAAGCGGGCUAUAAAACGCCCUAGUGCGACGAGCUUGCCUGUGAGUCGUUGUAGCUCCUUCUUGUUCCUGGGAGGGGGUGUUUCCAUGACUGCCUUGACUUGAUCUGGGCUGACUUCUAUGCCCUUUGGCUGAUCAUAAAUUCCAGAAAUUUGCCAGCACUUACGCCAAGGGCGCAUUUAGAAGGAUUUAGCUUCAUGUCAUACUUUCGUAAGAGGUGAAAAACUUCUUAUAAGUGAAGGACAUGAUGCUCUCGGGUUUUGCUUUUAACCACGAUAUCAUCAAUAUAUACCUCUACCGUGUGGCCUAUCAGAGGUUUGAAGAUUUUAGUCAUCAAUCUUUGAUAAGUGGCGCCAGCAUUUUUGAGUCCGAAUGACAUGACUUUGUAGCAAUAGAGGUCGUGUGGCGUUAUGAAUGCUGUCUUUUCUUCGUCAUCCGGGGACAUGGGGAUUUGAUGAUAUCCGGAGAAGGCAUCCAAGAAAGAGAGCAUCCCUUGCCCGGAAGUGGAAUCCACAAUUUGAUCUAUUCGUGGCAAGGGAAAACUGUCUUUUGGACAUGCAUUGUUGAGAUUGGUGUAAUCUACACAAACUCGCCAUUUUCCUUCUUUUUUAGGUACCACCACUACGUUUGCCAACCAAUCCGGAUAAGAUACUUCUCUGAUGAAUCCAGCUAUUAGCAAUUUGUCAAUCUCAUUCCGGAUGACUUUUUGUCUAUUCGGGUGGAAACGUCUAAUUUUCUGUCGGACGGGUCUGGCAGUUGGAAAGACGUUAAGCCUGUGAGAUGCAAUAGAGGGAUGAAUUCCCUUCAUAUCAGAGUGUGCCCAUGCGAAAAUGUCAUGAUUCUGUCUGAGAAUGUUUUGCAUGCUCUGAGUUUCUUCUUGUGUCAUGAGGGAACUGAUGUUCGUGAGGUGAGUGUUUUCCUCCGAAAUUUGGAUUGUUUGCAAGGGGUAUGCUGUCGGGGGAUCUUUGUCCGCCGGACCCAAUAAUUGCUAUUGGUCAUGUGUAUGGCUGGGUUUAGGGGGAGAUGCAUCUUCCUGGUUGACCCCUGCUUCACGUGCUAUCUGAUAGCAUUGGCAAGCGGCUAAUUGACUGCCAUAUAGGUCGAUUUGGCCAUCGUUGGUGAGAAAACUCACUAUUUGAUGAUAUGUAGAGGGGAUAGCUUUCAUGUAGUGGAGCCAUGUGCGCCCCAAAAUGACAUUGAAGGGUGAUAACUCCUGUACUACUGAAAACUGUACGUUGAGAGUGACUGGGCCUACUUGGACCGGCAGUACAAUGUCUCAUAAGGAUGUAGUUGAAGACCCGUUGAAUCCGGAUAGGAUUCGUCCAGGGUUUUCGAGGCCUGUGAGAUUGUGUCCCAUGUGGCCAACAACUGAUGCUUGCACAAGAUUGGCCGAACUGCCUGGGUCAACCAAGAUACGCCGCACAUCGAAGUCCCCAAUUUCCAGGGACAAGAUGAGGGCGUCGCGAUGUGGUUGCAGUGUCCGGGUGGGAUCUACUGGUGGGAAAAUGAUUGUCCCAUCUAUGGGGCGAGGGCCCCCUCCAGUUAGCCCAGGCCAGAUGGAAUUGAUGCGUUCGUGUAUUGAUGCGGCCCGCAACAAUUUUUGUCUCUUUCGCCUAGAGUCGUACUCCUCGUCAGAUGGACCUCCGUUAAUAUAGUUUAUAAUGACCUUGGGGGCAGCUGGGGCCCUAGGGGUCCCGGGGUUGUGAUGUUGGGAUGCGUCCCUUCCUCCAUUAUCUGAUCGGAGGUAUUGCUUCAAAUGCCCUGCUUUUAUGAGUCUCUCGACCAGAAACUGGAAAGCUCGGCAUGUCUCUGUUGUAUGGCCAUGAUCCUUGUGGAAGGCACAUCUCCUACUACGAUCCCUUGUGGAUGGGUCCGUUCCAAUGGGUCUAGGCCACUUGAAGUCGGACAAGCCCUGGAUCAUUGGGAGAAGUUUCUCAUAUGAUAUGGAAAGAGGUGUGAGAGGUGGCAUUUCCGGGCGACUUGGCCCUUCCUACCUUCGGUCAGACGGCUUUGGCCGAUCCGGAGGUUUAGUGUUUCUCUCCGCAUUACUUCUAGAUGGUCGUCCGGCAACCAAAACUUGCUGGGUGGCUGCACGUACGUCAUCUUCGAGCAUUGAAUAUUUGUUGGCGCGCCUAAAUAAAUCAUCCAUUGUUGUAGGAGGUUUUUUAGCCAGUGAUUCGAAAAAUGGAGUGUCUGGACAGAUGCUUCGCUUGAAGAUCUGUAGGACAGCAUCCAUACUACAAGCCUCUACUUGAAGCACGGCUUGGCCAAAUCGCUUCACGAAUUCCCUCAAGGAUUCGUUAUCUUGCAUUUUUAUGUUCUGCAGGGUGCUGAUAUUUUGCUUGUGUCGAGCGGAGCACAAGUAUUGUCCCACGAAAGCUUCGGACAGGUCCCUGAAAUUGCCAACAGAGUUGGGAGGUAGGCGAUGAAACCAUGAGAGGGUCUGUCCUUGUAGGCUGACGGGAAAUACUUUGCAUAGUAGUGCAUCAUUGCCAAUAUCGAGCGUCAUUAGCUGUCGAUAAUGCAUGAUGUGAUCGAAGGGAUCGUUGGUUCCAUCGUAUGUGGAAAACUUUGGUACGAGGAAUCCCCUUGGGGGCUCGUAAUUAAUGAUAUGAGAGCAGAAAGGCGUGGAGAGCAUGUCAUCCAGCCUUUUGCUGAUGGAGCCAAUGGGUGGCUCGUUUGGGAUGUUUCUCCUAGUUGGUUGUUCCGCUGGGUGCGAAUGAACGUUCCGCAUCACGGGGGUGACUACGGGGUCACGAUGCGGGUGAACGUUUUGCACCAUGGGGGUGGCCAUGGGGUCAGGGCGUGGUGCCCAGGUUGUGGCCAUUGGUGACCUUGAUCUUCCAGGCUCUUAUGGGCCUAGUCUUGCGCGCAUCGAAUUUGACAACUGGGAUUUUUUAUCACGUUGUCUUUUUGCUGAAAAGUGAGUAGAGUCUGAGCUUUCCUCACGGGGAGCUCGAGGCAUAGGCGUGCGUGGCUCAUGAGGUCUUACGUUGCAUGCUCCUGGGAUAGCUCCUGUUGUCCCAGGAUAUAUUGAUUCUGGUUCUUGUUGAGGCCUUGAGUUUGCUACUUGGCCCCUUGAACGCUGACGUCGAGGAGGCCCUGAUGUUGAAGCCUGGAUGCGUAAUACAUCGUUUUCUUCUCUCAAUCUUUCUGUCUCCUGGAGGAGAGCUUUCAGUUGUUGCUCGCUUGCCAACUGUCUCCUUUCGAUGGCUUGACGCCAUUCAAGAUUAUCCUCCACUCCUUUACCAGAUGAUCGGCUUCGGGAAGGUGUGGCCAUCUUUUUUAGUGACUGAAUCAAAGUAAAAAAAAGUUCCCACAGACGGCGCCAAUGUUGAUGCCUCGCGCUCCUAGUGUUCCACGUAGUUGCCAAAUGAAUGGACACGCGAUCUCAACCCACAAAGGUUCUUGAUUCAGUCGUUGUACCUGCAAAAGACAUCCGAACAGGGUGUCCGGACGCACCCUCCGAUGGUUUUGUUAGCCAUGGUUAGAGAGGGAGAUAUAAAUCAGUUGGUCUUUUACUAGGUAUCAGGAGAUCACCUUCUUCUUCGUGCAAAGGUUCAUAUAUAGUGCCAGGAGUACUGUUCCUCUCAUUAAUGGCGAGGAGAUAUUUUAUGUUUGUCAUGAUGACAUUCGGAGGCAGCAUGGUCAUCGCCACCCUACUGGCGGCUGUCAGAAACCAUGGUAGGUGAUGCUGCUAUCAGAGAUCGUGGGAAGUGAUCAUGUAGAAUGAUCGUGGGAAGUGACUUGUUGUCACCUCAACUCGUCCUUUCACUCUACAGGCGAUGGGACGUGGGCCAUGGCUGGUUUGUUGCGAUAGCGUGUAAGACUCGCUUUACUUUAGUCAAUGAUCCGGACAAUCAUAUCCGGAUAGCCCAUGUUGGUUAUCCGGAUGUAUUGUGGAGCGGACGUAUUUAUGGAAGCCGUCCGGAUGCCUAUGCUUCGUAAGCGUCGUUUGCUCUUCCUUGAGGCAGUCCGGAUAUACAAGGUGCGCCAUGUGUGCUUUAUAAGAAGGUCCGGAUGAGGGUGACCCGGAUGACAAUGCGUGCCAUGGGUCACUGUAAGAUACGUGCCACGUGUCUCGGCCAGAUGCGUGGCACGUGUUCUCAGAGGGCGGGGUCCCUACACCCACCAUUGAUAACUGUGGAGAUCUGCCAAACUUAAUUGGAGAUGGUGAGGGGUUUUGAAAGUUGGAGUGAUGGAGUUGAGUUCAAAUUUUCAAGAGACAGACAUACUCUGCUUCACCUAUUAUAUAUUCAAUUUUUUUUGUCACCUUCUUUCCUCAGUUUUCUUCUAAUUUUCUCCUCUGUUUUUCUUACAAUUUUGGUAACUACAAUAACAUUUAAACCCAAUUUCUCAAUUAAAAUUAAAUUAAAUUAAAUUAAAAUUUAAAAUUUUUCUAUGUAAUUUAGAUGAAAAAUAAUUUAUCAUAUAUUAGUAAAAUUGUCAUUAAAAAAAGAAUGAGUAUGACUAAGAUAGACUAAGAUAAAUUGUUUUUUUCCCUCAUUUUGUUCUCUUAUUUUUGAAGUAAAUUUAGAAUUUAUUUAAUGAAUUCUUACUAACAAAAAAAAUCAAAUAAUAAAAAAAAAAUCACUUAAUUUGAUAAGAAAUGAAUUUAAAAUAAAUCUACAAACUUCCAAAAUGAAAUUAAAAUUGAGGUUUAAUUACAUGAUAUCAUAACUCAUCCAAUUGUCAAUAAAAUUAUAAUUAAUUUUUUUUUAUUAUAAAAUUUUAAGUUUAGCUCAUUAUAAUACAAUUAAAAAAAAUCAACUAUCAAUUAAAAUUGUAGAGAAUAAUUCAAAUUGGGCUAAAUAUCCACUAGAGUUAAUAAUUUUAAUUAAUUUUUAAAAAUCCAAAUUUAAGCGGUAAUUUUUUUCCCUAAAUUAAAAAACCAAAAAUUAAAGAAUUAAUUUGAAUAGUCAAAUAUACUUUCAAUCACAAAUGCAUAAAUUUAAAUGUAUGUGUCACAUAAAAACCACUAAGUAAUUAAUACAACUUAGUCUAGAAAAUUUUCAUUUCUGUUAGAUAUGGACUCCCUUAUUUGGAAUUUUCUCCUUCCUCUGUUUUGCUUGCAUUUCAUUUUUUGGGCAGCUGUAGCCAUUUGGUAACUACAAUUACACUUACACCCAAUUUCUCAUUUAAAAAAUUAAAAUAAAAUAAAAUUCAAUCUUAAAAAUUUUGUAUGCAAUUUAGGUGAGAAAUAAUUUAUCAUAUAUUAGUAAAAUUGUCAUUAAAAAAGAUUGAAUAUGACUAAGAUAAGUUGUUUUUUGUCCCCAUUUUGUUCUCUUAUUUUCAAGUAAAUUUAAAAUUUAUUUAAUGAAUUCUUACUAAAUAAAACAAAUCAAAUAUUAUAAAAAUCUCUUGGUUUGAUAAGAAAAGAAUUUAAAAUAUAUCCAGAAAGUUCCAAAAUCAAAACUGAGAUUUAACUACAUGAUAUCGUAGCUCAUCCAAUUCUCAAUAAAAUUAUAAUAAAAAAAAUUAUAUUAUAAGUGAAUUUAUUACAAAAUUUCCAAUUUAGUGAAAUUUCUAUAAUUAAAAUUCUAGACUAUAAUUCAAAUGCAUCUAAAUAUCCACUAGAGUUAAUAAUUUUAAUUAAUUUUGAAAAAUCAAAUGUUAGGUGGUGAUGUUUUUCUCUAAAUUAAAAAUCCAAAAAUUAAAGAAUUAAUCUAAAUAAUCAAACAUUGGAUUCAAUUACAAAUUCAUAAAUGUAUCACAUAAAAACCACUAAAUAAUUAAUACGACUUAAUCUAGAUAAUUUUCAACACUUUGUUAGUAAUCAAACAUAAUUAUUAUAAACUUUUGUUAUUAUAUUAAAUCUUGUUAUUUUGAAGCAUUUAGAAAUAUGUUAAAUUACUCUUUUUUUGUGCCCAACCCCCUCUUUCCUUAUAGGCGAGACGAAGGUUCUAUCCUCAUCAUGUGAAUCUGAAAAUUCUCUAAUCACACUUUAGGUAAAAAAAAACAAAAAAAAAAAAAGAAAAGUAAAGAGUGUUUUAUGGACCUAAUCUGUUUUUAGAAACUUUUUAUUUAAAAUAAAUAAAUAAAGCCUAAGGCUAUGUUUGGUUCCCGGAAAAUUUGAGGGAAAAUACGAGGGAAAGAAAAUACAAAAGAAAAGUAGAAGGAAAGAAAAAGUGAAGGAAAAUAAAAAAAUAGAUUAAAAUUUGAUAAAUUAUUUUUUUUGUUACUUCAAACUCAUUUUAUUUAUUUUAACUCAUCAAUAUAAAGAUUAAAUAAUUUAAAAAUACAUAAGUUUUUAAUUAGUUUUAAUUAUAUUUGAUUUUCUUUGAUAUUUUUCAUAGGACAACCAAACAUGAGAAAAUCAUUUUUCUUAGCAUUUUUUUUCUUUCCUUUGUACUUUCCGGGAACCAAACAUAGCCUAAAUUUCCAAUUUAGUGAUCGGGUUUAGUGCUUGAGGGAACAUAAGGCCGAGGAAGUGUGGGCCAUAGAAUUGGGCCUUCUUUCUAUAUUCUUAUUUUGGCAUUUCUUUACCCUACUUGAAUCCCAUCCCACAUCGAGCAGUCACGAAAGAAAUGAGAUGUUCAAAUUACAAGCUUCCUCGUGAUCAAGAAGUGGCAUCAAAGUUCCGGGGAAAUAGGGGGGGGGAACUCCAGGGGCCCAGGGGGAGGGGGGGGGGGAACGCCAGGGGAAUCAGGCAGACAUGAGUGAGUAACUCCCCGCCUCGCCGGAGCUGCUGACCGUGUUGAAUCCAUCCACAAUGACUGGCAGCAUAGCACAACAUCUCCACCCACACCUCACUCACCAUCUUCCAUUUCUCUCCCAUCUCCAUAUUCAGUGAUCUCAACUCCUUGGCAAGCCUACAUGCCUCGAAUAACACUGACUUGCUUUUAUCUCCUUUCACCUCUUUGGGCUCAACUUCUGUGUCAACUUCAAGCAACAAUCUGCAAGCUUCAUUUCUGUUAGAUAUGGACUCACUUCUUUGCUGGAAGAAUCUUUUGGUCUCUGAACAAGUGUCUCGGAAUCUAAACUCCCCUAUCCCUUUUGGCAGCAUAAAUGGACACAUGACUAGCAGAUACAACAUAUACUCAGACAAGCAUUUGCUUAUUUUGCAUCUUGAUUUAGGAUUGGGGUCAUCAUCAGAAUAGCUACAGAGAUCUGUUGCAAUAUGCCAAAGAAGGAUGCUGUGAUCAAAUUUCACGUCAACUAUACUCCAACCAAGUGUCUCAAUAACCCGCCUUUUUGUAAUCACAUAAUCACCUCUGUGUUUCAGUAGUGACCUGAGAUCCCUGACAUCAUUUGUCAUCUCUAGGAGCAAGCUGAAGAUCGGUUCCUUCAUGUCAUCCACCUUCUCCCAAGUCAUGUACCAGUACCUCUCUAAGAAAUUGUUCAUGUCAAGGAACCUGGGAACCUGAUUGAACUUGGUUUUGUCUCUGAGGCAAGAAUCAAUUAAAUUGUUCUGUGCCAUUCGUCUAGACCAUCUCUUGUCACUGGUUAUAACUGAUCUAAAAGAGGUAAUGGCUCGGUAAAUGGAAUCAGCCAGGGAGUUCGUCUUGCUGCUCAACCAGACAAUGCUCCAGUCGGACAAAAUCAGCUUAGUGAGGGCAUAAACCUCAAGAAAAAUAGCUCCAAAGAGUAAUAAGUAAGUAAUGUCGAUGUCAAUGUUUGAGAACUGGUGCUUAUCGAUGAAGAAGUGGAAGGCCGCUAAAGUAGAAAUAGUGAAGGAGAAGCUGGUGGAACGGAGCAGAAUGCCAAGUAGAGAAUAAAUCACUGUUGCCUUGGUGUAUAGCACAUCAUACAUAAAAUUGAGCUCCAUCUCCACCACUUUGAAGGCGUCUUCGGAUGACAUGUACCUGAUGAUGCCCUCACUGGUUUUUUGGUCAUCCAAGCUGAGGAUGAGGUCUGCAUAUAGAUGCUUGAAUUGGUUCUUGAAUAAGAAGUAAGCUUUGUCAAUAUAUUUUCUACUAGGAACAGUAAUGUCAUCACCAACGGUAGAUUGAAGUGGAUUUUCACCAGUCUUUUCUUUCCUGAUUCGCUCAGCCUGCGUGUCGUAAUUCCGUGAACUAUAUUUCUCCAUGAAAUGAGCAUAAUCAGGUCCAGGAUCAGGAACUAGAAGCAAAGAAUCUCUAAAGUGAUUCUUGCUUGCAGAUCUCAGAACCCAGGUCCUCUCUCCAUACUUGAUAAUUCCAGCCACAAACAUUGGAAUGGAUAGAAAUGUGAGUGGAGUUCCUGCCCAUGACCUCAGAAACACGUAGAAAGCCACUCCAACUUGGACAACUAGUCCAAGCAAGUGCCUUAACCACAACUCAUUAUCUUCUAAGGAGUAAGCCGUGAUAGUGUCCGGACCACCAAGGUGCAAGAGAAGGAAUGGCGCCCAAAAUGCCAUGAGGGUAUAGUUUGGAUCCAGAAGUUUCCCUUCCGAAUCUCCUUGGCUGUUUGAGAGGGUACCGAGGGAUACUGUCGCCACCCAGUCUGCGGACAAGUAGGCCGACCAAAUCAGGAUUCUGAUCCAAGGCGUGACUGUGUACUUUCGUCGGUUGCUAAAGAUGAUUAGGACGAUUUGUAGGAAAAGGCUUAGUAGAACCAUCAAGCGUAGCUCCCAUUCAUUCCAAAGUUUCCGCAUACUUUCUGGGAAUAUCUGCAUUGCUCUCGCGCCUGUUCUCUGUAAAAAGAUCAAACUGAAAACAACUAGACAUUCAAAAAUAUUAGAGCCAAAAAUAAAGAAUAAAAUAAUAAAUUUGUAAAAUAAAACUCUUAAAUUCAUACCAAUCAUUUUUCACUUUUAUUCAUUUGCCACUUGUAACUUUCCAACAUUUAUAACUCAACAUUAAAGUUUAACACUUAAUUUUUAAUCUUCAAUUUUAUUAAACACCUUAUAAAUAGCUUCACUUUUCACUUAAAAUUAGAAAGAUAGGUUGUUUCACCAUUUUUUUUAUACAUUUUUUUAUAAACUAUUUUUAAAUUAAAGAAUUAAAAAUGAUAAAACCGUUUCCUAAAAUCAUUGUCAAACACACUCUAAGUUAUUAACUUUUUAAAUUAAUUUAUCAAAUAUCAUCUUACAUUUAGCAUAGAAACUUUAAUUAUACUGUUCCCUAAAAUAAAAAUAAAAGUAUUAUGUCUGGUAACAAAAUCUGAACUUGUCCUACAUGAGUUAGAGCCAAAAAAAAAAUGAAGAAUAAAUUAUUAAUGGUUGAUAGGAACUACAUAUGAACUUAAAAGUAAGGAGGACUUCAAUAAAGGGCUGAUUUUGGCUCUCCUGGAAUCUGAGCAAAGUAUGUAGUUCAGGAAUUGUUGGUCACAGUACUCAUACUGUAAGGGCAUCACCAGCAACAACAAUAUGAUAUCAUUCUUUACUUCAUUAUAAUGCAAACAUAACUCUUUUCCUUUCAUUUAUUCCCAAUUUUGCUUUGUGCAGAAUCAUCUGAUCACUAGGGUGUACUCAUAAAGUCAUAUUAAUAAUUGUAAGGGAAGGGAGAAGCCCAGAGUGUAGGACUUGGUCACAAGUCAAGAAACACAUACUAAUUUCGCCUUUGAUUUCGUGGAACAGUGUUAUGGCUGUAAUUUUGAUGGGUUGAUUGCUAACCCAAAUUCAACCAGAAGUAAAAAACAAUUGAUCAAAAUCUAACCCAAUGUGACUUCUAACCCAAAGUAUUAAGCCAAAACCUAGCCAAGCCUCAUGUCUCUAAACCCGAUUAAGUUCAAGGUAGUCAAGUUUUGUUUCAGGUUAAUUGAGUUACAUAAUUCAAAAUCCAUCAAUAAUGUUUUUUUUUAUACAAAAUUUCUAUAUAUUUAUACGAAAAUUUAAAUAAUAAAAUACGACAAAAUUUAAAUAUGACAACAAAAAUGUAAAAACAAAUUUGUAUAUAUAUAUAUAUAUUUUUUAAAUGAAGAUAUAUAUUAUAUAAUAUUAAUUUGAUAUUUUUUCAUAAAAAUAUAAAAAAUGAAUAUUAUUGUAAAAGAUAAUAUACAUUAUAAAUAUUAAGAAAUAUUAAAUUGAGUUUAGAUUAGGUUCGCAUUGUUUGAGCCUUACCUUUGACCUGACUACAAACCAAAUUGAACUUAGUUUGAAAAAACUUAACGCAAGCCCAAUUACAAUAAUGAAAAUGAUUAUUCAAACCCGAUGAAAAUAUAAUGUUUUUUUGAGUUAUAUAAUUCAAAAUUCAUUUAUAAUAUUUUUUUAAAACAAAAUUUCUAUAUAUUUAUAUGAGAAAUUAAAUAGUAAAUAAGACAAAAUUUAUAUAUAACAACAAAAAAGUAAAAAUAAAUAUAUAUUAUAUAAUAUUAAUUUGAUAUUUAUUUCCUUAAAAAUCUAAAAAAUAAAUAAAUAUUACUAUAUAAAAUAAUUUACAUUAUAAAUAUUAUAGAAACAUAAAAUUGGGUUCAAAUUAGGUUUAUGUUGUUCAAACCUUAGUCUUAACCUAGGCACAAACCAAAAACAAAAUUUCAGAGAAGUUUGAGUUUACCAAAAUAGAAAAAUAUCAAAUUUUCCAUAAAGUAAUGAAGGAAAUCAAUGGACAAAAGAUCUUCUUUUGAAAAGAUGGGGGGCGGGGUGGGUGGGGGUGGGGGUGGGGGUGGGGGGAAAGAGCAAAAAAUAUAUACAAUUUAAGCUGUUAAACGAACUCAAUAUUCUCCGAGUCAAUCCAUGCAAUCCAACGUCUCAUGAAUUUUAAACAAUUUCUCAGAAGAAUAAACAAAUGAAGCAUAAGUAAAAAGAAGAAGAAGAAGAAGAAAGAAUCGGUUUGAAAGCAAAAUAAGAAGGGAAAUAUACCAAAGAGUAUGACGGUGGGGGCUCGGUUGGAGCUGUUCACAGAGUUCAGCUCAUGAAGGUGGAAGUAGUGUGCUGGUGAAAAGGUGAUGGCUGGAGAUGGAGGCCGACGGCAGUGAGAAUGGUGACUUUGUGACUCUUGAAUGGGUUGCAGUAGUGGUUUUAAACCAGAGAAAAAGGCAGAAAAGAAAAAGAAAACAGAAGAAGAGACAGAGGAGCGAGACUGAGAGAAUCGUCUUGUGGGCCGGCCGGAGCGUGUGGCUAUAGCAAUAAUUCAAAGAAAGGAAUCCAUUUCUUUUUCAUUUUCCUUUCUAUCUCUUUUUUGUCGCCAUUAAUCAAUUUUCUGUCAAUGACUGGCAACAGUGCUUCUCAAUUAUUCAACUAUGGAAACUUCCAAGAGUUAAGAGUAAUAGGAAGAAGAAUAGAUUCAGGCGAACUGAUGUAACAGUGGAGGCCAGUCAACAGCGGUGGGGUGUUGGGGAAUGAUGUGCAGUAGAGGCUCGGGAUGUUAAGUCUUGGAAUAAUGCGAUGUUGAAUGCAUAAAAAGGUUUUACCACCCUACAUUGAUAAUCAAUUCGCUUUAAAAUGAGCUUAGGAUGUGAUUCUCAAGUUACGGAUUCAAGUCACCAAAACCUCAUGUUCUAAUUUUUAAAUUUGUAAUAUCUUAAAGACUGAGCCCCAAAAUAAGCUUCAAGGUCAUAAAACGCUAGGUAUUAAACUCCAAGAUUUCAACCUUGGGAUGAAUUUGUUGUGAUUCUCAAAGAUGGUUAACUCAACAACCUCAUUGUAAGUUGCCUCAGGGAUAUUCAGCCAAGAAAGACGGAAGAAACGAAACCGAAUCCUCCAGCCAAUCUAGGAUGUGAUCUGAAGUGGGGUUAGGCUCGGGUUCUUCAAUGGUCAUUGUGGGGGAGAAAGAAUGGAUGAAGAAGAGAAAGGGUGUAGAACUGUUUGAUCAUUGACCAAGGAGGAAGAUAAAAGAGGGUGUGAAACACCAUUAAAAUAAUGAAAUGGGGGGUGAUGGUUUUUUGGAAGAGACGAUGGAGAGCAUAUUGAAGUUGGUGGGGGGUGGUGUGCAUUUGGAAGAUGUGAUGUUGUUAUUAAGGUUUUUUUAAAGCCUCUAUAAGAGAGUAGAAACAUGGGUUUCUUAGUUUUUUCUUUGGUGUAUUAACUUAUUCCUUUGCAUAUGUCAUGGUGAUGGAGACGUGCCAAGCUUGAUUGGAGAUGGUGAAGGGCGGCUUUGAAAGUUGGAGACAGUGAUGGGUUGGGUUGAGUUCGAAUUUUCAAAGAGACGGCAAUCUGCUUCACCAAUUAAAUAUGGGUUGUUAUAUGGUACCCACUCUUCAUUUUGGGGUACCUACCCACAUUUGACCCCAAUAAAAAUAUGACAUGUGUAAAGUACAUAUCACUAAAAAAUUUAUAAAAACUUAUCAAACCGGUAAAGAUGACUUGUUGGUGAGAAAUAAUCACAUGCAUUUCAUAUAUAUCUAAAUAUUACAAUUUUUUAUAAUUUAUUAUUAAAUAUCAAAUAUAAUUUGUUAUUUAAUGCAUUACCUAACCCUAUCUAAAAAAAGAAAAUCUUACCUACUACUCUUAUACUCUCAUUAUUCAUAUAUAAAAAAAAGGAUAGUAAUUUAAUAUGAAAAUUAAAUAAUUUCAACUACCAAAUUACAAAAUAUGUAAGAUGUAUUUUGAUGAAUCAAAUUUCAAGAUCAAGUUCAAAACUUUUUGACAGAGAAAAUUUAAAAUUUGUAUUAUAUGAAGAAGAUGAAGAAUUUCAAGUGAUUACAAGUGUCAAAGGUAAUAUUUGAUAUUUUUUUAUCCAAAUAUAAUUGUUGUAGGAAGAAAUGUGAUGUUAAAUAACGAUUUUAUAAUUUUUUAUGAGUUUAUUAUAAAAUUUUGUUAUCAAAUUGUUAUUAAUAUUUUUAUAUAAUUUUUUUUUUUGUUCAUAGAUUAAAUUUGAAGAUGAAGCUUUAUAUGUCUUGAAGGAUGUCAAGUGAUUACAAGUGUUAAAAGGUAACAUUUGAUUUUUUGUUUCCAUUUACAUAUAACUAUUAUAGGUAGAAAUGUCAUGUUAAAUGACAUUUAAAUAUGUAAUGAUUUAUAAUAUCUAGAUUUUUUAAUUUUUUUUUCUAAGUUAUUUUUAAUCAAAUUGAGAGCAUUUAGUAAUUUGUUAUGAAAUUGUCAUCAAUAUUUUGUAAGAGAGAAUACGAACUUUCUAAUGGAGGGUACGAACUUUCUAAGGGUGGGUACGAACUUUCUAAGGGUGGGUACGAACUUUCUAAGAGAGGGUACGAACUUUCUAAGAGAGGGUACGAACUUUCUAAGAGAGGGUACGAACUUUCUAAGGGUGGGUACGAACUUUCUAAGGGAGGGUACGAACUUUCUAAGUUAGGGUACGAACUUUCUAAGGGAGUGUACGAACUUUCUAAGGGAGGGUACAAACUUUCUAAGAGAGUGUACGAAAUUGGUACGAACUUUCUAAGAAUGGGUACGAACUUUAUAAGGGUGGGUACGAACUUUCUAAGAGAGGGUACGAACUUUCUAAGGAAAGGUACGAACUUUCUAAGAAAGGGUACUAACUUUCUAAGGGAGGGUACGAAAUUUCUAAUGGAGGGUACGAAAUUUCUAAUGGAGGGUACGAAAUUUCUAAGAGAGUGUACGAAAUUUCUAAGAGAUGGUACGAACUUUCUAAGGGAGGGUACGAACUUUCUAAGGGAGGGUACGAACUUUCUAAGACAUGGUACGAACUUUCUAAUGGAGGGUACGAACUUUCUAAUGGAAGGUACGAACUUUCUAAGAAUGGGUACGAACUUUCUAAGAGAGUGUACGAACUUUCUAAGAGAGGGUACUAGACAUUCAACUAAAGUAAUUAUAUUGCAUUUGUAUUGUACUUAUACUUUAUAACUGAAGUAAUGGUUCUUUUACACAACCUUCAAACUACUAGACAUUCAACUCAUCAUACCAAAAUAAUACUUAUACAAAAAGGUAACAAAUUCAUAACAAAAAUAUAGUGAUCUUAACUCUUUAACAAAUUCAUAAUAAAAGACAAGGUGGUCUCGUACAAAGGGGAUUUCAGUUUUCAAUGAAAAUCCAAAUAUUGUUCAUAAAUACACAAACAAAGUGGUCCCAAACAAGCAUAAAACAACUGAGAACAUUUUUUCUUCAACCAUGUCAAAAAGUCUUAACAACAAAACUAAAGUGCAAACCUUUUCAAUGGAAAUCAAUAAUAAUCAUAUCAAACAACCCACUCGAAAAAUAAAUUAAAAAUAAAAACACAUCUUCAAUAUGACCAAAAUAAUAUAAAAAAAAUUCAAAAUAAUAAAUUUAAAUAACAUUUUACACAAAAAAAAAUGUAAUUUCUUUCUCAAAACCUUCUUCAAUAUUUUAGAUCUAAUAUUUUACAGCUACAUUGUUAAAAUUAUUAACUUUUCAUUCAUUCAAUCCGAUUUUUAAAUUAUUUAUUUAUUUUUUUCCAUAAACUUACAUUUUUUUUUUGGUAUUAAAAAAAAAAAACUUACCUUUAAUGGAUUUCUUGCUAGAUUCACACAAAAAACAAGCUUUGUGUAAACAGUUGCAGAUAAUGACUUGAAGUGCUGGACCUUUUUCUUUUCCUUUUUUUCUUCUACAACACCGACAAGUUGCAGGUAGGUUAAAGAAAAAAACUCUUUUUUCUUUCCUGUUACUUUUCACUUUGCUUUGCUUUUCACUUAUUAAGGAUAAUUUUGGUAUUUAAACAAAAUAAGGCUUUUGGAUGAAUUAUCAUAAUUUCACCCUACCCUUCACAAUAAUUAUCAAAUUUACCCACCCUCAUCAGUCAUAUUUUUCCCCAGCCUACCCUUAAGGGUAAUUCUCCCUUUUUCAUAUCCUCUCUAAUUUUUUAGUGUUUUAAUUUUUAAAUUUUUUAGGAUAAUUUACAUUAUUUCCAAUUAAAAAAAAUUUUAAUGCUUAAUUUUUUUUAACAAUUCUAUCAAUAAUAACUCAAAAUAAUAUUAUUAAACUAUGUUAUUGUUAUUUCAAGUUAAAAAGUAAAUCUAAAAUUUUAAAAAUAUAAAUAAUUUAGGGUACGAAAAAUAUGAGAACAGUAUGAAAAAUGUGAUAAAUACAUGUUUGGUACUUUUAUCACAUUUUUCAUAUUGAUUUUUAGUUUUAAAAUUUUUGAAAUUACAAAUUUAUUUUUGAAAAUACUAUCAUUUGUAACUUAUAAGAGUAUUAGUAAUUUAUUUUAUUGUAAUUUAACUUUAAAAAUCUUAAAUUCAAAAAAUGUAAAAUUUGGAGAGUACGGAAAAAAAUUAGGACGAUCUAAUUACCUAAACUUUACAUAUGAUUACCAAAAUGUUGAAUUUUUAUUAAAAUACUUAUUUCAUAUUAAAAUAUUACCAUAUUCAUUUUUAUGUUGAAUUUAAAUGUUUAAUAAUUUUUUAAAAAUAAAAUAAUGUAAUUAUGAUAUAUGAUGAUUUUUUUUGUUAAUAAAUAUGUUUUCAAAUUUUAUAUCAUUUUAUUUUUUAUUUUUUUCCAAUUCUAUUUUUAUCUAAUAUUUAUUUUAUUUAAACCCAAUAUUGUUGAAAAUGGAGGAAGAAAGAAUGCCACAACCGGUUCUUCCCUUUACUGGUUAAGUGGAGUUUUUAUUUCAAAUUGAAAAUGGAUGGCCAAGAUGUAAUCUUGGACAUCCAAUGGCUUGAAAAGCUUUUUGGGUAGGUACCGAGGAGGUACCCUAGAAUUUUCCAUUAAAUAUUUAAGCUUUUGUCACUUGUCAGCUUCCUUCCCUGUUUUCUUGGAAUCUUCUCCUUCCUCUGUUUUGCUUGCAUUUCAUUUUUUCGGCAGUUGCAGUCAUCGAGUAACUACAAUAGCACUUACACCCACUUUCUCAUUUAAAAUAAAAUAAAAUUCAAUCUUAAAAAAUUUAUAUGCAAUUUAGAUCAAUGAGAAAUAAUUUAUCAUAUAUUAGUAAAAUUGUCAUUAAAAAGAUUGAAUAUAAUUAAGUGUUUUUUUUUUUUUUACUUAAUAUUAAUAUUAAGUAUUAAGUUAUUUGUUUUUAUAAUAUUUUAUUUUUAUUGAAUAUUAAAAAAUAAAUAAAUAAUCAACACAUUACUUUUUUCAUUUAGGGUUAAGCAAAAAAUAAAUAACUUAAAGUUUGAAAGCAAAUUAUUUUUAACAAAAAGUUAAAAAAACAAACACCCUCUUAAGUGAUAAGUUAUUUUUUGUCCUCAUUUGUUCUGUUAUUUUGGAAGUAAAUUUAGAAUUUAUUUAAUGAAUUCUUACUAAAUAAAACAAAUCAAAUAUUAUAAAAAUCAAUUGGUUUGAUAAGAAAUGAAUUUAAAAUAUAUCCACAAAGUUCCAAAAUCAAAAUCGAGAUUUAACUACAUGAUGUCGUGACUCAUCCAAUUCUCAAUCAAAUUAUAAUUCAGAAAAUUCUAUUAUAAAAAUCUAAAGAUUAAAGAAUUAAUCUAAAUAAUCAAACAUUCAAUUCAAUCACAAAUUCAUAAAUUGAAAAAUGUAUCACAUAAAAAUUCCUAAGUAAUUACUACAACUUAAUCUAGAAAAUUUUCAAUGCUUUGUUAGUAAUCAUACAUAAUUAAAAUAACCCUAACCACUAAUCAAUCAUAAAUUUCUUAACCAACUAUGUAAUUAAUUAUUAUAAAUUUGUGUUAUUAUACAAAUCUUGUUAUUUUGAAGCAUUUAAAAAUAUGUUAAAUUACUUUUUUUUUUCAAAUGAUUAGUUUUUGAAUAUUUUUAUUUGAAUUACAUAAAAUGAGAAGAUAUAUAAUCAUUAAAAUCUUAAUGGUUAUUUUUAGCAUAUAAAAAUAAAUAGAUUUAACAUUUAAUUUUCAAAUAUAUUAAAUUACUACUUUUUUUAAAUGAUUAGUUUUCAAAAUACCUUCAUUUUAGUUGUAUAAAAUAAGAAGAAAUAUAAUAUUAAUAUUAUGGGGUGUUUUUAGCAUAUAAAAAUAAACAAAUUUAACAUUUAAUAACAUUCAAAUAUUAAUAAAAUAAAAAAUCUUUAAUGCCUAACAAUAUUUAAAUAUGUAAAAAGUGUAAUUUUCAAAGAACACGAGGACUUUCCGAUACUUUCAAAGUUGGAUUGGUCAUUGAAUCAUAAAUGUUAUCCCAUCAUGUAGAAUAAAGUUGGAUUAGUCAUUGAAUCAUAAAUGUUAUCCCAUCAUGUAGAAUAAUAUCCAUUCGAUGUCAUAAAUAUAUGAUUUUAUAUUUUAUUAAAAUAAUUAUAAGAAAUUAUAUAUAUAUAUAUAUAUAUAUAUAUAUAUAUAUGUAAAAUUAUAAUUAUUAAACUUAAUAACAUUUCCUCUUUUUAUAUUUAAUAUCACUAGAUUAAAUCACGAUAAAAAUGAAUAUAAAUAUAUUAAAAAUAUUAUUAAAUAAAAUAUUUAUAAGAUUUAAGUGUAAAAAUAUAUUGAUGGAAAAAAAUUUAUUAUUUAAUUUUAUUUAAGCGUCAAAAGUUAUAUACUAGUUAUUUUAUACUUUUAAAAAUGUGGUACAACUUAUAGAUCAAUUUCACCUUCCAAUACUUGGAAUUUACUCGGUUAAGCCAAGGUGAGACAUAAGAAGGCAGACAUGAGUGAGUAGCUCCCCGCCUCGCCGGAGUUGCUGACGGUGGUGGAAUAGUUGACGGUGUUGAAUCCAUCCACAAUGACUAGCAGCAUAGCAUAACAUCUCCACCCACUUAUCAUCUCCCAUUUCUCUCCUGCAGCAUCUAUUUCCAAUGAUUCAAACAUUUUGGCAAGCCUACAUGCCUCAAAUAACACCGACUUGCUUUUAUCUUCUUUCGCAUCUCUGGGCUCAACUUCCGUGUCAACUUCAAGCAGCAAUCCGCAAGCUUCAUUUCUGUUAGAUAUGGAGUUGCUUCUUUCCUGAAAAAAUCUUUUGGCCUCUGAACAAAUGUCUCGGAACCGAAACUCCCCUAUCCCUUUUGGCAGCAUAAAUGGACACAUGACUAACAGAUACAACAUAUACUCAGACAAGCAUUUGCUUAUUUUGCAUCUUGACUUGAGAUUGGUAUCUGGGGAUUUGUCGACAUCACAAGGAUAACAGAGAUCUGUAGCGAUAUGCCAGAGGAGGAUGCUGUGAUCAAAUUCCACAUCAAUUAUACUCCAACGAAGCGUUUCAAAAAACCCUUUUUUUCUAGUCACAUUAUCACCUCUGUAUUUGAGUAGCUUCCUGCGAUCCCCGGCAUCAUUUGUCAUCUCUAGGAGCCAGUAGAAGAUGGGUUUCUUCAUGUCAUCCACCUUCUCCCAAGUCAUGUACCAGUACCUCUCCAAGAAUUUGUUCAUGUCAAAGAACCUGGGAACCGGAUUGAACUUGGUUUUGUCUCUGAGGCAAGAAUCAAUUAAAUUGUUUUGUGCCAUGCGUCUAGACCAUCUCUGGUCACUGGUUACAACUGAUUGAAAAGAGGCAAUGGCUCGGCAAAUGGAAUCAGCAACGGAGUUGCUCUUACUGCUCAACCAGACAAUGCUCCAGUCAGACAAAAUCAGCAUAAUGAUAGAGUAAAUCUCCAGAAAAAUAGCUCCAAAGAGUAACGCGUAAGUAAUGUUGAUGUCAAUGUUUGAGAACUCAUGCCUAUCGAUGAAGAAGCAGAAGGCCGCUAAGGUAGAAAUAGUGGACAAGAAGCUGACAGUGCGGAGAAUAAUGCCUAAUAGAGAAUAGGCCACUGUUGCCUUGGUGUAGAGCGCGUCAUACAAGAAACUAAGCUCCAUCUCUACCACUUUGAAGGCCUCUUCGAAGGAUAUGGACCUGAUGAUGCCCUCACUGGUUUUUUGGUCAUCCGGGCUGAGGAUGAGGUCUGCAUAAAGAUGGCUCUAUUGCUGCUUGAAUAAGAAGUAAGCUAUAUGAAGAUAUUUUCCACCAGGAAUUUCGAUCUCUACUUUUGUGAUUCUAUUAACCUGCCUUUCGUCUUUCCUUGAACUACAUCCCUUCAAGAAAUCAGCAUAAUCAGGUCCAGGAAGCAAAGAAUCUCUAAAGUGAUUCUUGCUUGCAAACCUGAGAACCCAGGUCCUCUCUCCAUACUUGAUAAUUCCAGCCACAAACAUUGGAAUGGACAGAAAUGUGAGUGGAGUCCCUGCCCAUGACCUCAGAAACACGUAAAAAGCCACUCCAGCUUGGAUAACUAGUCCAAGCGAGUGCCUUAACCACAACUCAUUUUCUUCUAUAGAGUAAGCUGUGACAGUAUCCGGACCACCAAGGUGCAAGAGAAGGAAUGGCGCCCAAAAUGCCAUGAGGGUAUAGUUUGGAUCCAGAAGUUUACCUUUAGAAUCUCCUUGGCUGUUGGCGAGGGUACCAAGGGAUAAUGUUGCCACCCAGUCUGCGCACAUGUACGCCGACCAAAUCAGGAUUCUGAUCCAAGGUGUGGCUGUGGACUUUCGUCGGUUGCUAAAGAUGAUGAGGACGAUUUCUAGGAAGAGGCUUAGUGGAACUAUCAAGCGUAGCUCCCAUUCAUUCCAAAGUUUCCGCACACUUUCUGGCAAUAUCUGCAUUGCUCUCGCUCCUCUUCUCUGUGAAAAUAGAGCCAAAAAUAGAAUAAAAGAAUAAAUUUGUAAAAUCAAAUUCUUAAAUCAAAUUCAUACCAAAAAUUUCACUUUUAUUCAUUUACCACUCGUAACUUCCCAAUAAUUUAUAACUCAACAUUAAAGUUUAGCACUUAAUUUUUAUUCUUUUAUUAAAGACCAUCUAAAUGAGCUUCACUUUUCACUUAAAAUUAGAAAGUUAGAGCAUGUUUUUUUAUAUUUGUUUUAAAUUAAAGAAUAAAAAAUGGAUUUUUAGAAUUUAUUAAAAUAAGGGUGUUUGAGAAGUUGUUCAAAAAAAAAAACUUAUUUAGAUAAAUAAUUUUUUAAAAUAAUUUUUUCUAUUUUGAUUUUAUAAAAACAUUGUAAAUUUAAUUUCUAUAAUAUUAAUUAAAUUUAAUUUAAGUCUUAUUAAAAAUAAAAUUAGUUCUAUAAUUAUAAAUAAAUUAAAAAAUAAAUCAUUUUUAGUAAAAACAUAUAUAAUAACAAUAUUAUAAUAAAAGCAUAAAUUUUAUUUUUCUUAUAAAAGAAUAUACUAUUUUAGUAUGUGUUAAAAAAAUUAUAUAGGUACUAACAUUUCCGUAAAAGUGUCAUUAAUUUCUUUUUUGUUAAAAGUUUACAAUAAUAAUAAUUUAACAAUAAUAAUAAUUUAACAAUAAAUUAUUAAUAAUAUUUUAUUUAAAAUUGAACAAUAAUAAUAAUUUAAUAAUAAAUUGUUAAUAAUAUUUUAUUUAAAAUGAAUAUAGAAUGAAGUUUAACUUUUUUAACAUGUAAAUAAACCAAAAUUUAUAUUACAUGUAUACAUUUAGUACUAAAUUACAAAUACAAUAUUCUAGAAUGCUUUGAUUUAAUAAGAUUUUUUUAAAUACAAAUUAUUAUUAAAAAUUUAAAAAUUCAUCAAAAGAAUUUAAAAUUUAAUAAAUUUUAUGUAUAAAGUAUAAUUUGAUUUGAAAAUUAUUUAAUUAAUGAAAAAUUAUUAUAAAGUUAAAGAAAAUUCAUAAAAACACAUAUAAUUCAAAAGAAUAUCAUAUUAAAAAAAAUUUGAUAUCUAUAUUGGAUCAUGGAGAGAAAAACAAUGAUAUCAUGUUCUUUUUUUUUUAAUUCUUCUAUAUUUUGAUUUUUAAAAGAAAACCAAAUGAAAACAACUUCUACUUAUCCACUAAAAACUAUUCUUUAUUUUACUUUGUUUUAAAAUCUGGAAAUAAAGAUAAUGGCCAAAUAGUCUUAUUAAUUUUUAAAAACACUUUUUUAUUUUUAAAAAUAGAAAUCAUUUUUUAAUCACAGACCAAAUAGACUUCAUAGUUUAUAAUUUCUAUAUUGUAAUAUUGCCUAAUAAAUUUUUAUUUUUAAAAGAAAACCAAAUGAAAACAACUUCUACUUAUUCACUAAAAACUAUUCUUUAUUUUACUUUGUUUUAAAAUCUGGAAAUAAAGAUAAUGGCCAAAUAGUCUUAUUAAUUUUUAAAAACACUUUUUUAUUUUUAAAAAUAGAAAUCAUUUUUUAAUCACAGACCAAAUAGACUUCAUAGUUUAUAAUUUCUAUAUUGUAAUAUUGCCUGAUAAAUUUUUAAUAUUGAAACUUGUAAUAGGCUUCAUUGAUAAAUAAUUUUUGUAGUUUUUAAUUUUGAAUAUGGCUUAGGGUCAAUGAUAAUUUUUUUACAUGUUGGAUUAAUAAUAUUUUUUCACAUAUUAGAUUAAUAAUAUUUUUUUUACAUGUUGGAUUAAUAAAUUUUUUUUUUACAUGUUGGAUUAAUAAUAUUUUUUUUACAUGUUGGAUUAAAAUAUUGUAGUAGAUAUUAAUUAUGUUUUUCUAAAGUGGGUUAUGCAUAAAUUUAUAAUAAAAUAUUUUUUAUUCAUAUUUGUAAUUCUAAGGACAAUUUGUAAAAUAAAUUGUUUUUAGACUUUUUUCUUUUCCCAGUUUUAUCAAAUAUUAAAUUGAAGGUAGGACUUAAAUGUCAUAAGAUACUUUUACAAUUCUUAGACCAUAUUUGGUAAAACUUAUUACUUAUUACUUAAUUAUUUAAGUUGAUUUGAAGUUAAAUUAUAUUUAAAUUUUGAUUUAACACUUAUUAUUUAAUUUUUACUUUAAACAUUAAAGUUGUUUGUUAAAAUUAGUUUAAAACUUAUUUUAAACCAUCAUAUUGACAUAUUUAUCCUUAUAAUAUAUAAUUAGGUAAAAAAAAAAAAGUCGAAUAAUAGUGAAAAUUGUGGAGUAGCAAAGCAAAAGAGAUCGUUGAAGUAAUUAUGAUAAAUACAGAUAAAAGAUAAAAUAAAAAUAUUGACUUAAAAAAAAGUUAUUUAUUUUUAUUUGUCACUUAAAAUUAUUUUUACUGUAAGUCAUAUCAUUAGGUUAUUUUACCCAAUAUACUUAAUUUACUUAAUAAUUUAAAUUAAACUAUUAAAUCAUUUUAAGUUAUUAAAUUGAUUUAUUAAACAUUCACUUACACUUAAUUCGUAUAUAUAUAUAUAUAUAUAUAUAUAUAUAUAUAUAUAUAUAUAUAUAUAUAUAUAUAUAUAUAUAUAUAUAUAUAUAUAUAUAUAUAUAUGGAAAAAGAAAAAAACAACAACAACGCGCUCUAUAUGGGAGAGUGCAAAAAAAUGAAAAAUAAAUAACUCGUGGGUGAGGGGAAAAGAAUAUCAUAUUACAACCACAAUAAUAUUUAUUUUUAUUAUUAAAAAAAUAAACAAAUAAAACCAUAGAGACUAGUGUCUUUGGUAAACCAUACAUGCACUUACAUGAAAGGAAAACGUGUAUGAGGGGGUGGUAUUGUCUCUCCUGGAACUCCUUUGUGUGACUCACAAGUGAGAGUCCUUUCUGUGUAUUUAUAAGGGAAAAUAAUGUUUGCGCGAGGGAUGGGGUGCGGGAGUUGUUGCUCACAGUGAGCCUCCCCCGCAACAACGUGAUAUAUAAUUCUUUACUUCUUUAUAAUAUNNNNNNNNNNNNNNNNNNNNNNNNNNNNNNNNNNNNNNNNNNNNNNNNNNNNNNNNNNNNNNNNNNNNNNNNNNNNNNNNNNNNNNNNNNNNNNNNNNNNCAUUCUAUGUUAUUAAAUUUAUAUAUUUAACACUCACUCACACACAUUUUGUAUAUAUAUAUAUAUAUAUAUAUAUAUAUAUAUAUAUAUAUAUAUAUAUAUAUAUAUAUAUAUAUAUAUAUAUAUAUAUAUAUAUAUAUAUGGGAAAAGAAAAUAACAACAACAACAAGCUCUACAUGGGAUAGUGCAAAAAAAUGAAGAAUAAAUAAUUCAUGGUUGAUGGGAAAAGAAUAUCAUAUUACAACAACAAUAAUAAUUAUUAUUAUUAUUAAUAAAAUAAACAAAUAAAACCAUAGAGACUAGUGACUUUGGUAAACCAUACAUGAACUUACAUGAAAGGAAAACUUGAAUGAAGGGCUGGUAUUGGCUCUCCUGGAACUCCUUUUUGUGACUCACAAUUGGGAGUCCUUUCAGUGUAUUUAUAAGGGAAAAUAAAGUUUGAGCAAGGGAUGGGGUGCAGGAGUUGUUGGUCACAGUGAGCAUCACCAGCAACAACAUGAUAUAUAAUUCUUUACUUCAUUAUAAUAUAAGCACAACACUUUUCAUUUCAUUUAUGCCCAAUUUUGCUUUGUGCAGAAUCAUCUGAUCACUGGGGUGUACUCACAAGGCACAUUAAUAAUUGUAAGGAAGAAGCCCAGAGUGUAGGACUUGGUCACAAGUCAAGAAACACAUGCUAAUUUGGCCUUUGAUUUUGUGGAGCAAUAUUAAGGUUGCAACUUUGACGGGUUUAAUUUGAAGUACUCAAUUCAAGUCUAAUCUAAUCUUAUUUUUCAAAGAUAAGUUGAGUUUAGUGCAGUUAAGGUUAGUCUCAGGUUAAUCAAAUUGCAUAAUUCAAAAUCCAUUUAUAAUGUUUUUUUAACAAAAUUUUUAUAUAUUUAUAUGAAAAUUUAAAUAAUAAAUAAGACAAAAUUUAAAGAUAACAACAAAAAUAAAAAUAACUUCAUAUUUUUUUUAAAUGAAAAGACAUUAUAUAAUAUUAAUUUGAUAAUUUUUUCUUAAAAAUCUAAAAAAUGAAUAUUGUCAUAGAAGAUAUUAUACAUUAUAAAAAUUAUAAAAACAUUAAAUUGAAUUUAAAUUAGGUUCAUAAAACAAAUUGAAUGCGAUUUGAAAAAACUUAAUCCAAAUCCAACCCCAAUAAUGAAAAUGAUUAUCCAAAUUUGUCCAAACGACAUGUUGGGUUUAGAUUGAGUCGGGCUAACCCGCCCAUAUUGCACCCCUAAGCACUAUCCAAUAAAUAAUGAACUCGUGCAUUCACUUGAAGAGUUCUUGAUCAUCAGUGAAAGAACAUUACUGUAUUCACUGUCUAUGGCUUAAGCUUGUUGCCAACAAGAAAAACACUCAUUAAUGUUCUUGUUUUUCAGAUCCUCCUUUGCUACAUUUUAAUUACUUUCUAACCAUUAUUUCUUAACCAUCAAAAAACUCACAAGACUAGACAAAGAAUUAGCACACAGAGAGAUGCAACAGAUUCUCCACGGCUAGCUCCUCUUUUUCUCCUUAGACUCAAUUCAUGUACCAUUGACCAACUCAAAGAUCAAAGAGCAAUAAUAAUUUGUUUUGUAAUUUGGUGAAUUUUUUUGGUUGAAAAGAAAUUUAUAUACAUUCAAAUUAUUUAAUAUUUAUAUGAAAGAGUUAAAAUAAUUAUAAUAAGUUUAAAAUAGUAUAUAAAAAUUAUUUUUUGAUUUUAAAUCUAUUUUUAUUUUUAAAAUUUUAUUUUCUUAUACUUUUUAACCUAGCAUGAAUGGAAAAUUUUCGACAAAGAAAUAGAAAAAUCAACCUCAAAAUUUCUCCUCAUGAUUUGGCUAGAAAUCCAAAUAAUGGUCUUGAAAAUUUCGUAAAAUUUAGCCAAAUACUAGAAAGAAAGCUGGUUGUCCAAAAGUCAUCUCUUGCAUCCAAAUUCAGCUUCUGAAUUCAAACCUGCAAAUAUGACAAAUCAAUACAACAACAUUCACGAAGUACGAUAAUUAUAUUCAAAUUAACAAAAUCUAAGAACAUUUGAUAUUCAAGCUUCAAUAAAUCUCAUAGUUUAAAAUUUCCUAAAUGUCAGUGUGCGAGUUCUUUUAAGAGAAUAAAAAAUUCUUUUUAAUAUUUUGAAGCCUAUUUUUUUAACAAAUAUGUAGUGUUUUAUAAAUUUUUAAAAACCAUUUUUAAAGAUUCAAAAAAAUUACUUUAAAUGAUAUUUAGGCCAUCAUUCAAUGGGUAAUUGUUCCAAAAAUCGCUUUGACCAAAAUCACUUCCAAAAUGGCUCCAUUGUCACCAAAUCCUAGUGGCUUGCUUAGAUCUUCAGACUAGGAUAAGAGCUAGGUAAAAUAUUAUGUGGAGCGAAUUGUAAAGAGUGUCAAUUAAGUUAUGACUUGAAUGGGAAGAUGCCAGCAGCCCAACUGGAAAAAGCCUCUAGGCCACAGUCAUGGAAGUAUAUGCUUGAAUACCUUGGGGCUAACGCUACCUUCAUUGACCCGGGCGGCUGUUGACUGCUGAUCUCUAGUCUCUACAGAUGGUUUAACCUCAAUUAGUCCCAUACAGGCAGGAAAAGCUUGGUCAGAAAUGUUUGAAGAUUAAUCUGACAAUAUGUGAGUGGAUAAUGUUAUGAUGUUUGGUUGUGGCCUUUCCCUGAUUGCUCCUUGAAUUAUGCCAUUGCCGCAGUUUCUACGACUAAUCAGCAUAAUUUUCCUUGUCGUUUCUUUUAUAACCGAUUCCCCUUUCUCCCUUCUGAAUUAUAUUCACUUUCUUAGCUCUAAUGGACAUUAGGCGCAUUUGGUGUAACCGGAGAAGUUUAUUUCUUAUAGUUUCUCGGGUCAAGGGCCCAACUUAAGUCUUCUAUUGCAUAGAAAAAUGACUUUCUCACAUUCGUUAUUAUCAAAAAUUGUAAAGAAAAUUAAAUAUAAUUAAGAUUAAUUAGAAACUUAUCAAAGAGUUAAAAUAUAUGAAAUAGGUCUAAAAUAACAUAUAAAAAUAAUUUAUUAACUUUUUUUCACGAGGUUGGUUUGAUAUCAUCGGAUGAACGUGAGUAGAUUUUAUUAGCAAUACUAGUACAUAGUAAUCUCACCCUGGAAAUCAAAUUUAGACUACGUAUACCAUUGAUCCAAAGAACCAAUAGCUUGACAGACCUAGUCAUGAGGUGAACGGACUGAAGUGAUUGCAAAGUAAAGGAGCUGCAUGGCCAAGCUUAGUUAGCUAGCCAGACCCCCCAAGAAGAGCCUUGAGCCUCUUCACUUCAUCAUCAUCAAGAAAGGUGGUCUUCUCUAUCAAUUCAGAAGGCAAGCUGCUUCUAAACAGCGCAUAGCUCAGGAUCUGCAGGCCGGGGUUCGAGCUACUGAAGCUAACCCAAAUGAGUGCCGGCGUCCGACCAGUGUUCACCUCGAAAUGCAGCAAGCCUUGAGGGAAAACCAUGAUAUCUCCCUCUUUGAGUGUCUUCGAGUAGACAGUAUUAUCUGAAGAGACGAAAGCAGCAAUGACAGAGCCCUUGGCCACAAGUAGCGUCUCCGAAGCACCAGGGUGGCUGUGCAUUGGAAUCGCACCGCCGGGGGCCAGGUCCACCCGAGCCAUGGAGAGACCAAGCCCAUUUAGGCCUGGGAAUUUAUCAGCAAAUGCUGUGUUUAUGGAAGCUUUGAUGAAGUUUGAGGUGUUUCCAGCCACACCUAGGCCUGAGUACACGAAGUCAUCUACUGUUACUUUUGCAGGCGUCUUGCAGGAGUAGCCUGCAGGACCUUGUGGGGCUUUCAGGUCCGCCACGCAGAAGUCUUGGACUGCUGCAUGAGAGGAGGACACAAGGAAAUAAAAGAAGAGAAGAACGUGAAGCAUUUUCACUGGUGACUUUGGUG